AAAAACUUAGUUAAAUAAUAACAUUAGUUUGUCAAACUAAAAUUAUCAAAUAGAUAGUUUUUA
Molecule: transfer RNA, 63 nt
Filed under: Tyraphus nitidus
Lineage: Eukaryota; Metazoa; Arthropoda; Insecta; Coleoptera; Staphylinidae
Description: tRNA-Asp
Source: RNAcentral